Papaver somniferum (opium poppy) is the source of this 597-nucleotide long non-coding RNA. RefSeq lists it as uncharacterized. Lineage: Eukaryota; Viridiplantae; Streptophyta; Magnoliopsida; Ranunculales; Papaveraceae. The record is from RefSeq and is a predicted model, not a curated record. The transcript is spliced from 2 exons.
UUCUCUCUCGGCUCUUGGAUUUAGGGAUUCAACUAUAGCUCUCCCGUCUCUCCCUUCUGGACGAUCAGCCCAACAGAGUCACUAUCACUCUCAACUCUUUCACAUUUGAUUAGAUUGAACAUGACUGUAUAUAAAUUUUCCUAUCGGAUUCUUUUCCAUUCUCCAAUCUCACUCUUCCUUCUGUACCUGUAUUAGCUUAAGAUGUUGCUGCAUUAGUAAAGCUUCUACUAAUAUGGAACUUCAGAGAGAACUAGAAACUGCAUCUGAUUCUCUAAAGGUGGUGGCGGAUUUAGAGGAAAAAACAGUGGUAGUGACAGUAGAUUUGAUGGAGGAGGUACCACUAAGUUCAUAAAUGAAGAAACUGAAAACGACCCAUUGCUGGAAAAGAAAGAGUUUCAUCUAAAGUUGAUUCAAGUAAGUAUUGAGAUGUUGAUUUUUGUUUGUCCACCAAAUUUUAUUUCAUUUCAAGUAAGUAUUGGGUGUCUAUAACUCUGCUCAGUGAGAUAAAUGAAUUGAGUUAAGAAUGGGUUUCUACUCUAUCAGUUUUUCUUUGUUUCGUUCUCUAUCAAUGAAAAUUUUCAUCUUUUUUUUGGUAAA